UGGCAACCCAGCUGGGAAGGUCGGUCUCUGCAGGGCGAAAGGCGAAGGUGGGGACGAAUCGGGAGUAAUAGCGGCCAUCUCCUGCAGCGCUAUGGAGGAGUCCCAGGACGGGAGGUGUCCCGUGGAACUCGCGGUAGCGCCGGCGGAACGUCGGCGAGGAUGCCGCGCCACGGCGUGCAGACGGCGGAGGCGCGGAUGAGGUGCUCUGGCUCAUCCGGCGGA
RNAcentral lists this long non-coding RNA (222 nucleotides) under Brachypodium distachyon (stiff brome). RNAcentral describes it as "long non-coding RNA (BDIS_LNC002293)". Lineage: Eukaryota; Viridiplantae; Streptophyta; Magnoliopsida; Poales; Poaceae. The record is from RNAcentral.